AUGGCCGAUGGAGGAGCGCUCGCCUGCUCUGCUAGUGUGCCACAGUGCCAAUGGUGCACUCGGGGCCACCAGUUCAUGACGAAUAUGAAGGUGCUGGUGCUUGGGACGUAUGACGCAAUCUUGGGCAUGGACUGGCUCGAGGAGCACAGUCCCAUGACCGUGGAUUGGCGCGCGAAGCUCAUCGAGAUCCCGUCGACCGCGUGGGCAAUUCGUCUACACGGGCACGAGGCUACUUCCUCAACUUGCACCGUCAUCAAUGCUCUCCAACUCCAGCAACUGUGCAACACGGAUGCCAUCAUGCAUAUGGCGUUGAUUUAUGCGACGACCGGCGAGGGCAGCAACAGCACCACCUCGCCAGAGAUUCAAGCUGUCCUGGAGGAAUUCGCAGAUGUGUUCAAAGAACCAGAAGGGUUGCCACCCCGCCGCCACUGGGAUCACAAGAUUCCGCUCAUACCAGGAGCCCAGCCGGUGAACAUCCGAUCCUACCGGCACAAGCCAGAGCACAAGAAGGAGAUCGAUGCACAAGUGGAAGAGCUUCUCCGCAAGGGCAUUAUCCAGAAAAGCAGAAGCCCCUUCUGCUCUCCAGCUAUCCUCGUCAAGAAGAAGGAUGGGACAUGGAGGCUCUUUAUCGACUACAGACACCUCAACGCCAUCACUUACAUCGCCAAGUACCCCGUGCCUAUCAUCAAAGAGUUGCUGGAUGAGCUGCACGGUGCAGACUGGUUCUCCAAGCUGGAUCUGCGAUCGGGCUAUCACCAGAUUCGCUUGGCAGAAGGCGAAGAGUACAAGACCGCAUUCCAGAUGCAUUCAGGCCACUACGAGUUCCUGGUGGUUUCUUUUGGGUUAGCGGGUGCACCGGCCACGUUCAACGGAGCUCUGACGACCACCCUCAAACCAGUCAACCGCAAGUGCGUGCUCCUGUUCUUUGAUGACAUCCUCGUGUUCAGCAAGACUCUGCGAGACCACAUCAAUCACCUGCGACAAGUUCUGCAACUUUUGCGCCGAGACCAAUGGCGCGUGGAGAUGUCCAAGUGCGAGUUCGGCCAGCACAGCCUAUCAUACCUAGGGCACGUCAUCAGCGAUCAAGGGGUGUCCACGGAACCAACCAAGAUACAGGAAGUAUCCGACUGGACGACUCCAACUGAUGUCAAAGCAGUCCGCAGCUUCUUGGGGCUCGCUGGGUACUAUCGAAGAUUCGUCAGGAACUUUGGAAUCAUAGCUCGUCCACUGUUCAACCUUCUGAAGAAAGGGGCGCCGUUCGUCUGGACACCGGCCACAGAUACAGCAUUCCAGCUACUCAAGCAACACCUGAUCGAAGCCCCAGUUCUGGCGCUGCCCAACUUCGCCAAACCAUUCGUGAUCGAGACUGACGCAUGUGACAAAGGGAUCGGGGCGAUACUGCAGCAGGAUGGUCACCCGAUUGCUUACAUGAGCAAAGCCCUGAGCCCCCGAUACCAAGGACUCUCGACCUACGAGAAGGAAUACUUGGCAGUUAUUGUGGCCGUAGACCAAUGA
RNAcentral lists this ribosomal RNA (1515 nucleotides) under Triticum aestivum (bread wheat). Its description in RNAcentral is "partial small subunit ribosomal RNA". The record is from RNAcentral. Lineage: Eukaryota; Viridiplantae; Streptophyta; Magnoliopsida; Poales; Poaceae.